GAUGAACGCUGGCGGCGUGCUUAACACAUGCAAGUCGAACGGAAAGGCCCUGCGUUUGUGUGUUGCUCGAGUGGCGAAGGGGUGAGUAACACGUGAGUAACCUGCCCUUGACUUUGGGAUAACUUCAGGAAACUGGGGCGAAUACCGGAUAGGAUCUUCUGCUGCGUGGUGGGGGUUGGUAAGUGUCGGCGGUUGGGGAUGGACUCGCUGGUUAUGAGCUUGUUUGUGGGGUAGGUACGUACCAGGGUUUGGACGGGUAGCCUGCAUGAGAGGGUGACCGGGCACAAUAGGACUGAGGGACGGACCAGUCGCCAACGUGAGGCAGCAGUCGGAAACCUUGCACAGUAGGCCGACGCGUGAGACGAAAACGCCGCGAGCGGGAUACCGGCCUUCGGGUUGUGAACCGCUUUCGCCUGUGACGAAGCGUGCGUGACGGUAACGAGUAAAGAAGCACCGGCUAACUACGUG
RNAcentral lists this ribosomal RNA (468 nucleotides) under uncultured bacterium. RNAcentral describes it as "partial 16S ribosomal RNA". It matches the Rfam family "Bacterial small subunit ribosomal RNA", at positions 28 to 507 of the family's 1533-position model. The record is from RNAcentral.